Spodoptera frugiperda (fall armyworm) is the source of this 369-nucleotide long non-coding RNA. RefSeq lists it as uncharacterized. The record is from RefSeq and is a predicted model, not a curated record. The transcript has 2 exons. NCBI's taxonomy places the organism in Eukaryota, Metazoa, Arthropoda, Insecta, Lepidoptera, Noctuidae.
ACACCGGUUUCCUACCAGGCCUAUAACUGUUGGUAUAUAAAGGCCCAUUUUACGCCAGUUACCAUAUCGUUUCACAAGGAACAUACAAAUAAAAAACACAAUGAAAUACUUCGCAAUCGUUGCUUUGUUGGCGUGCGCCCUGAUGGCGAUGGUUGGUGUCUCAGCUCAGGUGCUCAGGGCUCCAGUAGCUGGCUCUCCAGUCCUGAGGAUGGUCCGCAGCCCCUACGGCUACCAGAAGGAACACCACCACCACCACCACCACAACCACGGCCAUGGUUACGGACACUACUAAAUAAGUUAUAAAAUAAUUGAUGGCGUGCAAUUUAGUUAUAAGGGAUGCUUGCUUUAUUAAAUAAUUUUUAAGUUUCA